GAAUAAUUUGCUGGGCUCACCGACCUUCAUGGAGCUUGAAAAUGGAAGGUUCAAGUGCGUAGAGACGGGCCACGAGAUGCUAGCCAAAGACAAAGAAUCGUAUUCUCAGAGCAAACGGUGUCGUUUGGUUCUCAUCGACUUUGCUUUGGCUCUUGGCUCACAAUAAGCCCCCUCUCAAUAUGUUCAAGCAAGAUCCUCUGUCCCGUUCAAAAUUGAUAUGUAAGCUCACAGGGGAUAAUGUGAAUAAGUCUGAGGAACAUAUCUGGAAGCACAUCAAUGGCAAACAGUUCCUUAAUAAAUUAGAGCAAAAGGAAAUGGGGAAAGUUGAGGAAAAGCAACAGGAAGAAUCAAAGUCUAGCACGGAUGGUCAGAAGAAAAAGAAGAAGAAAAAGAAGGAAAACGAGAGAAAGCAGGUUGAGGAAAUCAUUUCUGAAGUAAGGAAUUCUUCUGAUAAGGACAGUGAUUCUGAAGAAGACGACUUCUGGAUGCCACCUGUGGGAGAUCGUUGGGACUUUGAUGAUGGAGGAUAUCGAUGGGGUUCUGGUGGGGAGUCAGGGCAGGAAAGUGAGGAAGAAAAUCAAGCAGAUGGUAAAGUUGAAGAAAAUGGCAGGGAGUCAGAAGAGCUUUCUAGGCGGACAAAAAGAAUGUCAAUUGAAAUUG
RNAcentral lists this unclassified non-coding RNA (660 nucleotides) under Hevea brasiliensis (rubber tree). The record is from RNAcentral. Lineage: Eukaryota; Viridiplantae; Streptophyta; Magnoliopsida; Malpighiales; Euphorbiaceae.